UGCGCAGGCGGUUUUAUAAGCCAGAUGUGAAAGCCCCGGGCUCAACCUGGGAAUGGCAUUUGGGACUGUAAGGCUGGAGUAUGGCAGAGGAGACUAGAAUUCCUGGUGUAGCAGUGAAAUGCGUAGAUAUCAGGAGGAAUACCGAUGGCGAAGGCAGGUCCCUGGGCCAAUACUGACGCUCAUGCACGAAAGCGUGGGGAGCAAACAGGAUUAGAUACCCUGGUAGUCCACGCCCUAAACGAUGUCAACUGGUUGUUGGGGGAUUUAUUCUCUUAGUAACGAAGCUAACGCGUGAAGUUGACCGCCUGGGGAGUACGGUCGCAAGAUUAAA
This 331-nucleotide ribosomal RNA is filed under the name uncultured Pseudomonadota bacterium. RNAcentral describes it as "bacterial SSU rRNA". It matches the Rfam family "Bacterial small subunit ribosomal RNA", at positions 568 to 898 of the family's 1533-position model. Lineage: Bacteria; Pseudomonadati; Pseudomonadota. The record is from RNAcentral.